AAAACACAAAAAUGCCUUAAAGAAAAUUUUUCAUUGAUAAAGACAAUCUGCAGAAUGUUAUGUUGGAAAUAUUGGCCAAAGAAGAACUGACGAAUAAUUAAGAAUUUGGGAAGAAAAUUUAGGACAGUACAGCAUAGCAAAAGGAGAAAGGUUAUAAAUAUAUGGAAAAGGGGUAGUUUGCUAAUUGAAAAAAGAAAGGAAAAUUUUCUUUGAAAUUGUAUACUGUGCCACAAUAUAGAAACACAAUUCCACAUACCACAAAUAAAGAUGAAAAAGGGCAAUCAUAUGAUCAGAGUUUGAUUAAGCCUCCAAUGGGUAUGACCGCAUCUGUUCCAGAAACGCACUCAUCUUCAACAAAUGGAAUGGUUUUCCAUGCGGUUAAUCUUACUGGAACUUUCAUCCCAACUUUGAUGGAUUUAUCUUUUUCCAUGCAAAUAGCAGCAUAAUGAGAACCGACCAAUUCUAAUAGGGCAAACUGCCAACUGCUUGUGAGGCUCUUAGGAUCAUUUAAAGACUCUACCAUUAUCUCAGAUGCCUGAUUGCACAAUUAAGAAUGAAUUGUAAACAGUGGCUUAAGUGACAAGAUCCAUGGUUAAAAGUAUGAUCUAGAGCAGUAUAGUUUUUCCCCUCUUAACAUUGACAUCAGCUUGAGCAGUUAAGAUUCUGUUAUUCUUAAUUUUUAUUCAGAUCUACGCUCAAAUAACAUGCAUGGCAUACCUCGAAAAGUAAAUCCUCAGCAAGAACAAAGCUUCUCUUAUAGUCAGUCUUUACGUGAAUGGUAAAGGUCUUGAAAGGUGCAGCAGAGAAGCCUUUUCCCAAAGCUUUAACAUAUGCCUCCUACACAUGAUAUCCAUCAAAAGGGAAAAUUCAAAACAGGAACAGAAUUCAAAAAGAAAAAAAGGGUGCAUAAAAUUCUCUCAAGAGAAGAAAACAUCAAAUGCAACUUUCAAAUUCCAAUUCUAUAGAGCAUCAGGAAUGAGAUCUAAGAAAUGUUGCAGGGAAUUGUAACUAUUUAAGAAUGCAUUCCUGUAUUUUCCACAAAAUAAUGGCCCUUAAUAUUAGUGAAGUACAUAGAAUUUCGGCACCGUGCUCACCUUGAGAGUCCAUAAUUUUAUGAACUCCUGGUGCUGCACUUCAGAGUCCGAAAUACUGCUUAAAUAUUCUAUUUCAUGGAGAGAGAAGUAACGCCGUGCAAAAGCUAAGAUAUUGUUUUUUAUCUUCCUUUUUUUCUCUUCCACAUCGAUACCAAUUCGUGAAUUUGAAGUUACUCCACAAGCUAUCAUAGAAGAACUGUGUGAAAUGUUGAAAUGUAAAUGUGGUUGGCACCAGCCAUCUUCACUUUGCCACACCACCUAUGCUAUGAGAAAACGUCAAAGUUAUGCAAGAAAUAAAAACGAGAUUAAAAAAAUGUGAAUGGAGAGUAAGCAUAUCUAUCUAAUAAAAAACAGAAAGAAAGAACGGCAAACUAACCUCAGGCUUCCCAUGUAUGUUUUUCUUGAAUUUCAAAGAUCUUGGAUCAACAUGGCCAUUUAUCUGAUCUAGUAAUGAAAAAUAUUAUUCAAAAACCCCACAUAAUCUUCGUAUACACAAAUUCCUAAAACAUUACAAGUCAAUAGAUUAUCCUGAGGAUAAACAAUGUCUAAUUGAUAUUGAAAAUGGAUAGACUGAUUUUCAACAUAAAUAAAAGUGAAAAUGAAGUUUUGUAGGUUUGUAUCCAAAGCCAACUUCAGUAAAGAUAAUAUGAUUUGCAAAUGAUUCAUAUGCCAUAUUUAUAUUCGAUGUCACUACUCAUUGUAAAACAUAAAAUUUGAGUGCACUUUAUAUUAGCCUGCAAUGUCAUCAUAUGCAUUUAUUGAAAGUCCUAAAGAAUUCCAUUUAGCUUAUCUUUUGGUAAAUCUUGCAACUUUUAAGUAUAGUAUUGCUUUAAAGAAGCAUAAAGAUCAAAGGUAAUCAAAACUGCAUGAGCCAGAGUAGUGUAGGAAUGCAAUUGGGAUCAGCAACUGAAAGUGUAUACAUUUUUGAAGGAUAACUAAUGGUUAUUGACUAUGAUCAGCUGCAAAAUUAUACGCUUUCAGGUCUGCCUAACAGAUAGCGUAUGGACAAACACUUCACACUAUGAUCAGGUCAGUGACUUGUUGGUUAGCAGAUGAAGCAUCAAGCAGAAAAUGUGCACUUAUAACUAAAGACAUCUAAGUUGGUAUAUAACAGCAAGAUCAUUGAAUUGAUCAGCUCUUGACAUCUAUGCAACUUAAGAACAAAAGAUUAGCAAUACAGAAAAGAAAUAAGGAAAGAAAGGAUAAAUCAGACAAGUACAUCUGGCAAUGGUGGUGCGAACCAAGGCACGAGCUAGGAGUGCCCUUUUCUGAAGCUGGUGUCCAGGCAUGGAUAGAACAUUUUCUUUCUCAAUUGGAGAUAGAAGUCCCAUGUAUUGAUUUAAAAGCGAUACACUCUUGACUUGAUCCGGCAAAACAUACCAAAAAUGAGUUUCCAUUGGAGAAGGAAGCUGCACAGGAACCAGAGAGGAUGAAGCAGAACAGAAACUCCUUUGAAAGCAGCAGCGCAUUUUCAUAGGGGAAUAUGCUCUAAGCAGAGAUGGGAACAUGCAGUAACUUCACAGAACUGGCUAUGUACUACAUCAUUC
This 2641-nucleotide unclassified non-coding RNA is filed under the name Hevea brasiliensis (rubber tree). The record is from RNAcentral. Lineage: Eukaryota; Viridiplantae; Streptophyta; Magnoliopsida; Malpighiales; Euphorbiaceae.